This is a long non-coding RNA of Xiphophorus couchianus (Monterrey platyfish), 520 nucleotides long. RefSeq lists it as uncharacterized. The record is from RefSeq and is a predicted model, not a curated record. Lineage: Eukaryota; Metazoa; Chordata; Actinopteri; Cyprinodontiformes; Poeciliidae. The transcript has 2 exons.
UGAUCGAUGAGGUGAUUGGUUUAUUGAUCCCGACAGAUGGGCGGUAGUGGAUGCGUCUCCAUCAGCGGCUGCUCUUCACCUCUGCAGUCAACAUUACCCGGAAGCUAACCGCGCAGAGGCUCCAUCACCACACAAACGACCGGCGGCGGCGGAGGGGAUGCGGUCGAAGCCGGACGCCAUCCUCCAGCAGACGGACGGACACCGGAAACCGCCACGCAGCGACCCGCUGCCGCUGUGCUGCAGCAGCUACAGCCGCUUCAUGUCGGAGGAGAACCUGGAAGUGGCUAAAAAGGAGCCCUGGCGGCAAUAAUCGCCUUUCAGCUUCCGUAAAAUUGCUUUCAAACUAACACAAAGGCGAUCUGGAGCUGGUUAAAAUAUUAUGAGGUGUAGUACCCGCUUUUGAACACCAGGGGUCGUUGUAUCACCCAAUGUAACCGCAACCUAGUUAAAAACCACUCGGUUGUUUUAAAGUCCUGCUACUAUUUUCUUAUUUGUAAACCAAUAAAGUAUAACUUCUCAA